Cajanus cajan (pigeon pea) is the source of this 193-nucleotide non-coding RNA. The record is from Rfam. NCBI's taxonomy places the organism in Eukaryota, Viridiplantae, Streptophyta, Magnoliopsida, Fabales, Fabaceae.
UAAGGCAAAGGGGAGCUCCUUUCAAUCCAAUACGAAGGGCUGAGGAGAGGCAAGAGCUGUCAUCUCAUGCAUUCGGCUACCCUUAAUGUUUCUUUCCAAAUGUUAAGUUUGGCCAUCUGCAUGCUGUGAGAGCAACUCCACCCGCCUGCUUAGCCCUACCAUUGGAUUGAAGGGAGCUCCAUGUUUCACCUCU